This 378-nucleotide unclassified non-coding RNA is filed under the name uncultured bacterium. RNAcentral's name for it is "contains 16S-23S intergenic spacer region". The record is from RNAcentral.
UCCGAGUUGACCCCGGCAGUCUCCUAUGAGUCCCCGGCUUGAACCGCUGGCAACAUAGGACAAGGGUUGCGCUCGUUGCGGGACUUAACCCAACAUCUCACGACACGAGCUGACGACGGCCAUGCAACACCUGUCACUCGGCUCCCGAAGGCACUUUCUCCUUUCGGAGAAAUUCCAAGGAUGUCAAACCCUGGUAAGGUUCUUCGCUUACCGUCGAAUUAAACAACACGCUCCACCGCUUGUGCGGGUCCCCGUCAAUUCCUUUAUGUUUUAAGCUUGCGCUCGUACUCCACAGGCGGGAUGCUUAACGCGUUAGCUUCGCUACUACCAGGGUCGAUACUGAUAACAGCUAGCAUCCAUAGUUUACGGCGUGGACUA